AGUUUUGCAAAGUUCGACACACAGACCAGUGAACCUUAAGCGCCCUAGUGCGGACACACAUUGUGGAGGUUUGUCAAGAACUCUCCGCAGCGAUUAUAAUGACAGUAUGGACAAUUCUGAAAGCUCUGGGCAACAGCACACUUAAGGGAAAAUGAGGAGCUUAGUAGAUUGGAGAAAAUUAACCUGCCACAAACAACCUCAUUAAAGAACUGCCUACCAAGAGUUAAGAAUUAAUAGCAAAAUGGAUGGGAAAAAAACCCCUUGAGUGAAGAGACCUUCAACCCCCUUUCCUGAAAGGUUUCUAAUGAAGAGACUGUGUGUGUCACCGCGCCUAAGAGAGAAAAAGAGGGAGGGAAGGAGAGAGCUCUUUAAACAAAAGACAAGGAG
Molecule: long non-coding RNA, 387 nt
Filed under: Mus pahari (shrew mouse)
Lineage: Eukaryota; Metazoa; Chordata; Mammalia; Rodentia; Muridae
Description: lncRNA (MGP_PahariEiJ_G0003231.1)
Source: RNAcentral